GAGCUUAGAAUACCCAGGUCAGAGGUUUUCAAUGUGCCGCUUGCGGGCCAGUGGCAUCGCACAAAAAUAUGUCGGUUGGACGGCGAGAAGGUACCAUGAAAUUAAUCGCCACUGGAAGUGGUUGAGGCCCGGGACACAGCGGAUGUGUGGCGUGCGCGACGCAGCUGGGGAAGGUGUUGAUUUCCAUUUCGGCGCCCGCGUUAACAGAUUACGCGAGACUGGCGUCUGAGGCGCGGCUCACGGCAGCGGCGCCUCGUCUAGACCAUCGGAGCGACGGCUCUUUUUCACGAGUGCGCACACAGAAGACAAGUCCACGUAUAUACCAGAACCUUUCCAGCAGUUUCCAGGGAGUUAGAAAGCUCAGGUUUGGAACAGAAGUAUGCCUUUUGCUCCCAGAAGCCCACAAAGAGGCAAGAGCUGGAGUGGAAAAACAGUGCCAACCAGUCACAUCAACAACAAGGACAACAACAGAGGAACAAAUGAUGACACAGAAAUGACAUCAUUGGGUCUUUCUCCAAGAGGGUCCAUGAAGCUGAGUUACUACAGACAGGCGUCAGGCAGGGAGGGUCACGCCUUCUCUGGUCCUGUGUCUCCUCUGAGCAGGGACAUGAACAGCAAACCCCAAUAUUACAUGUGAGUCUGGCAGGACAUUUUCAUUACCGCUAGAUGAAUGGAGGAACUUCAUCCUAAUUUGCCUUAAAAAUAACCAAGUGGUAAGGA
Long non-coding RNA from Brienomyrus brachyistius, 720 nucleotides. RefSeq lists it as uncharacterized. The transcript is spliced from 4 exons. The record is from RefSeq and is a predicted model, not a curated record. NCBI's taxonomy places the organism in Eukaryota, Metazoa, Chordata, Actinopteri, Osteoglossiformes, Mormyridae.